Long non-coding RNA from Xenopus tropicalis (tropical clawed frog), 95 nucleotides. RefSeq lists it as uncharacterized. NCBI's taxonomy places the organism in Eukaryota, Metazoa, Chordata, Amphibia, Anura, Pipidae. The record is from RefSeq and is a predicted model, not a curated record. The transcript has 2 exons.
UCACCGUCCAACCUGGAUCUUCUCAAAGCUCUGGGAAAGUCAGAAAAGGAUGCACUUGCUACCGAAGGAACUGUUAGGGAGAUGCCAGUCCUAGG